RNAcentral lists this ribosomal RNA (467 nucleotides) under uncultured bacterium. RNAcentral describes it as "partial 16S ribosomal RNA". It matches the Rfam family "Bacterial small subunit ribosomal RNA", at positions 28 to 506 of the family's 1533-position model. The record is from RNAcentral.
GACGAACGCUGGCGGCGUGCUUAACACAUGCAAGUCGAACGGAAAGGCCCUGCUUUUGUGGGGUGCUCGAGUGGCGAACGGGUGAGUAACACGUGAGUAACCUGCCCUUGACUUUGGGAUAACUUCAGGAAACUGGGGCUAAUACCGGAUAGGAGCUCCUGCUGCAUGGUGGGGGUUGGAAAGUUUCGGCGGUUGGGGAUGGACUCGCGGCUUAUCAGCUUGUUGGUGGGGUAGUGGCUUACCAAGGCUUUGACGGGUAGCCGGCCUGAGAGGGUGACCGGCCAAAUUGGGAAGUGGAAAGGGCCAAGGCUCCUACGGGGGGGAGGAGGGGGGAAUAUUGCAAAAGGGGCGGAAGCCUGGUGGAGCAACGCCGGGUGGGGGAUGGCGGCCUUCGGGUUGUAAACCGCUUUCGCUUGUGACGAAGGGGGGGGGAGGGGAAGGGGUAAAGAAGCACCGGCUAACUAGGU